RNAcentral lists this ribosomal RNA (365 nucleotides) under uncultured bacterium. RNAcentral's name for it is "partial 16S ribosomal RNA". It matches the Rfam family "Bacterial small subunit ribosomal RNA", at positions 338 to 700 of the family's 1533-position model. The record is from RNAcentral.
GCUACGGGUGGCAGCAGUGAGGAAUAUUGGUCAAUGGGCGCGAGCCUGAACCAGCCAAGUAGCGUGAAGGAUGACUGCCCUACGGGUUGUAAACUUCUUUUAUAAAGGAAUAAAGUGAGGCACGUGUGCCUUUUUGUAUGUACUUUAUGAAUAAGGAUCGGCUAACUCCGUGCCAGCAGCCGCGGUAAUACGGAGGAUCCGAGCGUUAUCCGGAUUUAUGGGGGUGAAAGGGAGCGUAGAGGGGUUGUUAAGUCAGUUGUGAAAGUUUGCGGCUCAACCGUAAAAUUGCAUUUGAUACUGGCAGCCUUGCGUACAGUUGCGGUCGGCUGCCUUCGUGGUGUAGCGGUGCACUGCUUAGCUAUCAC